AGUUUGAUCCUGGCUCAGAUUGAACGCUGGCGGCAUGCCUUACACAUGCAAGUCGAACGGCAGCACGGACUUCGGUCUGGUGGCGAGUGGCGAACGGGUGAGUAAUAUAUCGGAACAUACCCUAGAGUGGGGGAUAACGUAGCGAAAGUUACGCUAAUACCGCAUACGCACUAAGGUGGAAAGUGGGGGAUCGCAAGACCUCAUGCUCAUGGAGUGGCCGAUAUCUGAUUAGCUAGUUGGUGAGGUAAAGGCUCACCAAGGCGACGAUCAGUAGCUGGUUUGAGAGAACGACCAGCCACACUGGAACUGAGACACGGUCCAGACUCCUACGGGAGGCAGCAGUGGGGAAUUUUGGACAAUGGGCGCAAGCCUGAUCCAGCAAUGCCGCGUGAGUGAAGAAGGCCUUCGGGUUGUAAAGCUCUUUUGUCAGGGAAGAAACGGUUGUUCCUAAUACGGAUGACUAAUGACGGUACCUGAAGAAUAAGCACCGGCUAACUACGUGCCAGCAGCCGCGGUAAUACGUAGGGUGCAAGCGUUAAUCGGAAUUACUGGGCGUAAAGCGUGCGCAGGCGGUUAUAUAAGUCAGAUGUGAAAUCCCCGGGCUCAACCUGGGAACUGCAUUUGAGACUGUAUGGCUAGAGUGUGUCAGAGGGGGGUAGAAUUCCACGUGUAGCAGUGAAAUGCGUAG
This 688-nucleotide ribosomal RNA is filed under the name uncultured bacterium. RNAcentral describes it as "bacterial SSU rRNA". It matches the Rfam family "Bacterial small subunit ribosomal RNA", at positions 10 to 693 of the family's 1533-position model. The record is from RNAcentral.